AGGUAUGUACCAUGCAAGUUAAACUAUGUAUACGUGUAUUUUCCGUAGAUUUCAGGGGUGUAUGUUGCUAUUUUAUAUCUCUGUCGAGCUAGCUACUGUUUCUACUUUUUGUGAUUGGGGCUUUUUGAGAUUAAUUUUGGGGUUAUUUGGAAUAUUAUUUCAAAUAGCCCCAUCUAACGAUUCUUUAUGCAUUAGUACGGGUUUGAGUGAUGGUUUCAAAUAGCCCCAAAAGUGCAAAAAAAGAUAUUUAAGGGGAAAAUCAAGAAAAAAUCAUGGUGCGAACAUAUCAAAGGAAAUAUACCAACUCACGUUGCGGUAAAACACAUCCACCAUAUCUAAGUUAUUCUAAAGAAAGUCUAGAAAACGCAAUAAAAGCCAUUUAAAAUGGUUUAAUGAAAUUAAAAGAGGCUUCCAAAAAUUACAAUAUUCCAAUGAGCACUUUGAGUAGGAAAUCUAGAAACAAAAAUUGCACGCAAGAAAAAGCUGGGCACCCAACUCUAUUUUCAAUAGAGGAAGAGAAGACUUUUGUAGAAUAUAUACAAUUACUGAGCCCUUGGGGAUUUCCUUUGGAUACAACUGACUUACGAGUUUUGGUACUCUACUGUGAUGAUAAAAACAGUAAAUAUUUUAUUUAUUUAUUUAUUUAACUCUUUAUUGCACCAUAAAUAAAAAUAUACAAUGACAAGUUACAUUGGAUAUACAAAUAUUACAUUGGAUUUAUCGAAAAUAUUAAAUUUGAUGGACAAAAAUAUAAUUACAGUGUUAAUUUUUACAAAACUAUUAAAAAGCCACAGCUUGCGUUUUGGAUUAGCAAGAAAAUUUAUCGCGAUGAAGUUGAUGACAUAUGGAUUGUGAAAAAAAUUAUUAUGAAUAAUAAUCCUAUGAAGAAAAACGAGUUUCUUCUCGCUGAAGAAAGCGAUAUGGUGUAUUUUUGAGAUACUUUAAGCCACUUUAUUUUUCCAGAAUUUGUUUUUAUGUUAAGCAAAAUUUAUAAUCUUUUGUUACAUUUUAUAGCAUUUAUGUAGCUUUAACUAGGUAUGUACCUAGUAGUUACUAUUAUGUUUCUUUUCAUAAUGAAGAUUAUAAAAUAAUUUGAUUAAAAAUAUA
Galleria mellonella (greater wax moth) is the source of this 1107-nucleotide long non-coding RNA. RefSeq lists it as uncharacterized. The transcript has 2 exons. Lineage: Eukaryota; Metazoa; Arthropoda; Insecta; Lepidoptera; Pyralidae. The record is from RefSeq and is a predicted model, not a curated record.